UUCAGCAAAUAUGAAAUAAAGUGCCGUUAUGAGCGUGACCAAAACAAACGAAAUUACAUUUGCAACUGUUGACUAAACAAAAUGAGAAUAGUUAUUUUUAAUUUCACAUUAUGGAGGUGAUGCUCGCACUGUUGGUACUACAAUUUCCUUUUACAACUUGUCCACCACUCCAAAGUAUACGACCUUUGAUCAGGUUAGAAGCAUAUAAGUCAGCACUUGAGAAAGGGCUUUGUAGAGAUGGUAGAUGCUUAAAGCUGAAUAAGGUUCUGCAAGGUGAGGACACAACGACCAGCACGGCACCACCUACCGUCGGCACCAGAAGACUCACAACGACUCCAAUGAACGUCUCCAUAGAUAUGGAACGAUGCGCUGAUGUCGCUAAGUGUAAUGUUAAUAUAUGAUGCAACAACACUCCCUCUGUCGAAGACCGCUCUGUCCUCGUGCUGUUUGAACUACAAAUACUGUUAAUGCUGUUAAAGCCAGAAUUCGUCGAAACUCUUAUUAGGAAGCAAGAUUCCCGCUAGACCUUUGUCGCGUAUUAUAAACCAAGACCUGACGCUCGGUGCUUAUCGUGGAUCAAUCUUGACAAUUAAAGAGAGUGGAUCGAUCGAAACUCCUUCUAUUGAGAUACGCAGGUGAAAAGCACACAAAUAUCUUGUAUACAUAUGAAACAAUUUCCACGAUUGAAGAACACCACAAUAAGCAAAAUAAUAAAGUGUACGCUGAUAGUUCUAGAGAAGCUGCUCAAGUGAUCGAAAAGUUACAAAGUGGUCUUUAUCCUGCCUCAGUGAUGUUUUGGUGGGGCGUGUCUUAUCAAAGUGUCACAAAACUACAUUUUUGUGAAAAAAGAGUCAAAACUGCAACCGAGAUACAGCUUCAUCUUCUAGAUACAUUCUUGGAUCAUGUUUUGAAACCUCUCAGAAAUACACUUUUUUAAAAUAUACCGUGGACUGCAGGACCUGCUUGCAACCAGCGUUCCGGACUUUAUAUGAACUGAAGACCACCACCCAUUAGACUUCAAAUUAUGGUCAGUUUCCGAGGACAAGUCCUGGAGACUGUAUAAAAGCCAAUAGUGGACUAAGCCGGAGAGAUUUUAAGAAAUAUACUGAAACGACGAAGGUCUCCGACUGAAGUACGCCACAGCUAACUCGUGGUCCUGACUGGUUCGAGCCUAAGGCUCGUUGAGGCUUGAAGCUGCUGGAAGGUGGAAUCCACGACCUUAAUGUGCCUUUAAUCGCAAGCAGGACAUAAACACGAAUUUCUUGCAUCAUUUACAUUACGUUUCAAAUGCUUCACAGUAAUAUAAAAUGUCUUAAAAGAAAAUUUGUUUGAAAAGCCUAGCAUUAAUAAAUAAAAUGUCACCAUAUUUUAUAAUUUAACUAGGCAAAGAGCUGAUUUUUACGUGUUUACGAUAUAUUUCAUUUAAUAUGUAUAUAAAACA
Pieris brassicae (large cabbage white) is the source of this 1441-nucleotide long non-coding RNA. RefSeq lists it as uncharacterized. The transcript is spliced from 3 exons. The record is from RefSeq and is a predicted model, not a curated record. Lineage: Eukaryota; Metazoa; Arthropoda; Insecta; Lepidoptera; Pieridae.